Molecule: ribosomal RNA, 454 nt
Filed under: uncultured organism
Description: partial 16S ribosomal RNA
Rfam family: Bacterial small subunit ribosomal RNA
Source: RNAcentral
CGUACACUCCUGCGGGAGGCAGCAGUGGGGAAUAUUGGACAAUGGGCGCAAGCCUGAUCCAGCCAUGCCGCGUGAGUGAUGAAGGCCCUAGGGUUGUAAAGCUCUUUCACCGGUGAAGAUAAUGACGGUAACCGGAGAAGAAGCCCCGGCUAACUUCGUGCCAGCAGCCGCGGUAAUACGAAGGGGGCUAGCGUUGUUCGGAUUUACUGGGCGUAAAGCGCACGUAGGCGGACUAUUAAGUCAGGGGUGAAAUCCCGGGGCUCAACCCCGGAACUGCCUUUGAUACUGGUAGUCUUGAGUUCGAGAGAGGUGAGUGGAAUUCCGAGUGCAGAGGUGAAAUUCGUAGAUAUUCGGAGGAACACCAGUGGCGAAGGCGGCUCACUGGCUCGAUACUGACGCUGAGGUGCGAAAGCGUGGGGAGCAAACAGGAUUAGAUACCCCGGUAGUCCCAUGA